CCUACGGGAGGCAGCAGUGGGGAAUAUUACACAAUGGGCGAAAGCCUGAUGCAGCAACGCCGCGUGCGGGAUGACGGCCUUCGGGUUGUAAACCGCUUUCAGUUCCGACGAAGCGCAAGUGACGGUAGGAACAGAAGAAGGACCGGCCAACUACGUGCCAGCAGCCGCGGUGAUACGUAGGGUCCGAGCGUUGUCCGGAAUUAUUGGGCGUAAAGGGCUUGUAGGCGGUUCGUCACGUCGGAAGUGAAAACUCAGGGCUUAACCCUGAGCCUGCUUCCGAUACGGGCAAACUAGAGGAAUGCAGGGGAGAACGGAAUUCCUGGUGGAGCGGUGGAAUGCGCAGAUAUCAGGAGGAACACCGGUGGCGAAGGCGGUUCUCUGGGCAUUUCCUGACGCUGAGAAGCGAAAGCGUGGGGAGCAAACAGGCUUAGAUACCCUGGUAGUCCACGCCGUAAACGGUGGGCACUAGGUGUGGGGAACAUUCCACGUUCUCCGUGCCGAAGCUAACGCAUUAAGUGCCCCGCCUGGGGAGUACGGCCGCAAGGCUAAAACUCAAAGGAAUUGACGGGGGCCCGCACAAGCGGCGGAGCAUGCGGAUUAAUUCGAUGCAACGCGAAGAACCUUACCUGGGUUUGACAUAUACCGGAAAGCUGCAGAGAUGUAGCCCCCGCAAGGUCGGUAUACAGGUGGUGCAUGGCUGUCGUCAGCUCGUGUCGUGAGAUGUUGGGUUAAGUCCCGCAACGAGCGCAACCCUCGUCCUAUGUUGCCAGCGGAUAAUGCCGGGGACUCAUAGGAGACUGCCGGGGUCAACUCGGAGGAGGGUGGGGAUGACGUCAAGUCAUCAUGCCCCUUAAGUCCAGGGCUUCACGCAUGCCACAAUGGCUGGUACAAAGGGCUGCAUACCGCAAGGUUGAGCGAAUCCAAAAAGCCAGUCUCAGUUCGGAUGGGGUCUGCACUCGACCCAUUGAAGUCGGAGUCGCUAGUAUCGCAGAUCGGCACGCGCGGUGAAUACGUUCCCGG
This 1020-nucleotide ribosomal RNA is filed under the name uncultured bacterium. RNAcentral's name for it is "bacterial SSU rRNA". It matches the Rfam family "Bacterial small subunit ribosomal RNA", at positions 338 to 1377 of the family's 1533-position model. The record is from RNAcentral.